GCUGGUGUAGCUCAGUGGUAGAGCAACUGAUUUGUAAUCAGUCGGUCGGGGGUUCAAAUCCCUUCACUAGCU
Molecule: transfer RNA, 72 nt
Filed under: Leptocylindrus danicus
Lineage: Eukaryota; Bacillariophyta; Leptocylindrophyceae; Leptocylindrales; Leptocylindraceae
Description: tRNA-Thr
Rfam family: tRNA
About the family: Transfer RNA (tRNA) molecules are approximately 80 nucleotides in length. Their secondary structure includes four short double-helical elements and three loops (D, anti-codon, and T loops). Further hydrogen bonds mediate the characteristic L-shaped molecular structure. tRNAs have two regions of fundamental functional importance: the anti-codon, which is responsible for specific mRNA codon recognition, and the 3' end, to which the tRNAs corresponding amino acid is attached (by aminoacyl-tRNA synthetases). tRNAs cope with the degeneracy of the genetic code in two manners: having more than one tRNA (with a specific anti-codon) for a particular amino acid; and 'wobble' base-pairing, i.e. permitting non-standard base-pairing at the 3rd anti-codon position.
Source: RNAcentral